Long non-coding RNA from Triticum dicoccoides, 1129 nucleotides. RefSeq lists it as uncharacterized. The record is from RefSeq and is a predicted model, not a curated record. NCBI's taxonomy places the organism in Eukaryota, Viridiplantae, Streptophyta, Magnoliopsida, Poales, Poaceae. The transcript is spliced from 4 exons.
UUCCCCGCUCGCUCCUCUCUUCCCACGAAACCCUAGCCGCCCAGCUCGCGCCGCGGUCCCCAUCCGCUUCUUCUGCUCGUGCUGGGGUCGCCAUCGAGGGCCUGCCGCUCGCGCCGGGGUCGCACGCGCCGCCGCUUCCCCGUCCUGCUCGCGCAUCACGCCUCGGGAGGAGAGGAAGCCCAGGCUGCUGUUCCCGACGGAGCGCGCCGUCGCGCGGGAGGAGGCCAGGCGGAGCGCGCCGUCACGCGGGGAAGCGGCUCAUCCUCGGCGGCGAGCCAGUGCCGGAUCUGGUGCCUAGCGCCGGCAUCUCACGUGUGACCAAGUCGCCGCCGGGGGCGCUACGGCGGCCGGUCGGAGGCCGAGUUCGCCUGGGCGACCAAGUUGCUGUCGGGGAGCACAAAGUGCCUCCUUUAAGCACCGUUGCAGAGACGAGGAGGACCUCAAGGUCAGGCACAUCUUAUAAGUAGGUCACUUCCACUGGACUGGAUCUUUAUGUUAACAAGCAGCUAGACCCAAGCGUGUGUGUAUGAUGCUGUUGGGUUGUUGACAUGGCGCGUGGUCCGGUUGCGACUCAUGCUCAAGCCACGGUUGAGCCUGGCGUUGGGUUGGUAGGUGGUCGUGGCCGUGGCCGUGGGCGGUCUGCUGGUCGUCGUGGACGAGCCACUGGUCGUGGAGGUUCUAAUAUAGGGCGUGCCCCUGUUUCUGAUCAUGUCGCUGCUUGUCGGGUUCCUGCCGCUGGAGAUGAGCCUCUUGACAGGCGUAGGGGUGUGAGUCGGCGGGUGCCUGCUGCUGGAGCUGAGCCCAUCGCUAGGUGUGGGCGUGGCGCCCGGCAGAUGCUGCCUGCUGCUGGGCGUGGCGCCAUACCUCGGUCAAGUGGUAGGGGUGUUCGUGGCCGUGUCCCUGGUCGUGGUGCUGAUUCUGGGCAUGCAGCCGCUGCUGUACAUGUGUCUGCCCCUGGUCGUUCUGCUGGUCCUGGGUACGCCGCCGCUCCUAGGUGUGUGUUGGUCCCUGGUAUUGCUAGACGUUACGUGCCACGCCAGCCUGUUGGGGGUCCGCCUCGAAGCCGUACAAGUGAUGGUUGGUUUCCUUUUCUGAGCUCGACCGUGGCUGCGGUAAAUCGCAGAAAACG